UAUCUUACCUGGCAGGGGAGAUACCAUGAUCAUGAAGGUGGUUUUCCCAGGGCGAGGCUUAUCCAUUGCACUCCGGAUGUGCUGACCCCUGCCAUUUCCCCAAGUGUGCGGAAACUCGAUUGCAUAAUUUGUGGUAGUGGGGGACUGCGUUCGUGCUCUCCCCUG
This 165-nucleotide small nuclear RNA is filed under the name Echinops telfairi (small Madagascar hedgehog). Its description in RNAcentral is "U1 spliceosomal RNA (ENSETEG00000021500.1)". It matches the Rfam family "U1 spliceosomal RNA". Rfam says of the family: U1 is a small nuclear RNA (snRNA) component of the spliceosome (involved in pre-mRNA splicing). Its 5' end forms complementary base pairs with the 5' splice junction, thus defining the 5' donor site of an intron. Lineage: Eukaryota; Metazoa; Chordata; Mammalia; Afrosoricida; Tenrecidae. The record is from RNAcentral.